UUGCAUCAGUUGGUGUUUGCAUCAGAAGUAUAUUACAGUAUAGUUGAUGUAUGAUGUCAGUGACUAUAGUUGUGUAUAUUACAGUAUGCUGCAGUGAAUAGCCAGUUUAUAUUAAGUCAAUGUUCAGUAAUGUAUUAGACUGAAGAGUGUUAGUUAACAUGAAACCAAUAAGCAAUGUAUCUGUAUGUGAAUACAUGAAGUUUGUAAGUAAAUUAACUACGUUAACUUUUAAUGUAGAUUACUUAUUUUGGUCUCUUGAGAACAUGAUUUGAAAGCAAUAUAUUUUACAGGAGAAUAGAUGCUUUUUGGACAACUGAAAAUAACACUUCUGAAGAUCUGCUAUAUAUUUUAUGCAUUGGCAUAUCUUUGUUCCUGACAGUUCAGAGAGGGGCUUGGACGAGAUGGACUAUGUGCCAAGUAAAUAACUGCCAAACGGAAACUAUGAGAAAUGAUGUUCAUCCGUGGGCCAAUUUAUACCUAUCCAAAUUGGCUCUUUAAUGGCCGAGAGAGUGCAGCAUGCCCAAGGUCACCAUCCAUUGAUUCAAACCCUGGUCUUCAAAGCCAAUGUUCAAUCCACUACACCAUGCUGGAAUCAGACACAUACCUUCUAACAUUUCACAAAUGAAAACCAGGACACCUAUGGCCAAGCAACAUCUGCAAGUAGUCAACAUGAGGAAUAGAGGGUGAGAAAUAAAACCAAGUAAAUAAAUUUGGUGCUUAUCACACUCUAUUAGUUGUUUCAGGUCGUUCUGUUUGAACUUCAUUUUUCCUAUGUUUAUAAACACAACUUUUCAAACCAUCACUGUAUUUGUGUUUCAGUGGCAUUAGUUCUAGUGUUUGCUUUUUUUUUCACAAGUGCAAUACAAGACCAUUUACAUCAACCUGUUUUAUUAGUUUUUUUUUUAAAUGAACCUAUAGGAAGCCAUAAUUAUGAAAUUGCACAAUUAUGUAAUGGCGCAAUUAUGGAACCCCCACUCAUUUUCCAGAUUGGGAAGAUGACCACAUACUGCAACCGUUCCAAAACCAUUUUUCUGUACUUUUCCAGAAAAGGAACACCUGCCUAGUUCUCCUUUUGUAUAUUACUCUUAACAUUCUAGCUUAUUUACUCUUUAUUUACUUUUUAAACUCUGUUGUUUCUCUGUAGAAUUACAUUAGUACUGCACUCCUACACUACACUACCAUUAAAAAAUAGGGAAAUACUGAAAAACAAAUAACAAAUGUACUGUAGUGCUCUUGGGAGCUCUUAAGUGUCCUUCUAACCCAACCACUGGAAGCAAUCUGGUGUUUCUGUGCUGGAGAAGAGAAAAA
Molecule: long non-coding RNA, 1308 nt
Organism: Anolis carolinensis (green anole)
Lineage: Eukaryota; Metazoa; Chordata; Lepidosauria; Squamata; Anolidae
Exons: 3
Source: RefSeq, a predicted model, not a curated record